AAAUUGAAGAGUUUGAUCAUGGCUCAGAUUGAACGCUGGCGGCAGGCCUAACACAUGCAAGUCGAACGGUAACAGGAAGCAGCUUGCUGCUUYGCUGACGAGUGGCGGACGGGUGAGUAAUGUCUGGGAAACUGCCUGAUGGAGGGGGAUAACUACUGGAAACGGUGGCUAAUACCGCAUAACGUCGCAAGACCAAAGAGGGGGACCUUCGGGCCUCUUGCCAUCAGAUGUGCCCAGAUGGGAUUAGCUKGUUGGUGAGGUAACGGCUCACCAAGGCGACGAUCCCUAGCUGGUCUGAGAGGAUGACCAGCCACACUGGAACUGAGACACGGUCCAGACUCCUACGGGAGGCAGCAGUGGGGA
Molecule: ribosomal RNA, 363 nt
Filed under: Salmonella enterica
Lineage: Bacteria; Pseudomonadati; Pseudomonadota; Gammaproteobacteria; Enterobacterales; Enterobacteriaceae
Description: bacterial SSU rRNA
Source: RNAcentral